Non-coding RNA from Macaca mulatta (Rhesus monkey), 3248 nucleotides. Lineage: Eukaryota; Metazoa; Chordata; Mammalia; Primates; Cercopithecidae. The record is from RefSeq and is a predicted model, not a curated record.
GGUACUCCAGCCUGAGCAAUACAGUGAGACUGAGUAUAAAAAAACAAAAAACAAAAAAACAAUUCACUAGGGUUAUAAGAAUACCAGAAGAUGGGAGAGAUGAACUUGAAAGCAAGAUAAGGAACACAAAGUUUCGUUAUUGGAGAAAGAGCCCAGGUGUAGAUACAGUGAAGGAAGUAAUUGAGUAAAAGGUUGGAAGCCAAGGAAUCCACAGAUGAAAUGGUGAUGAGUUUCCUCAGCAUCUGUCUGGUUGCCUGCUGUGGGUGCUGGUUCUCCAUACUUGUGGGAGUUAUACAAUAUCCGGCACAAAAAGGGUCCACGUUAAAGUUUCUGUGAUUCUAGCUGCCAUGUAUUGACUCAAUGUGUUAACUCAAGCAAUUAUCAAAUGCUGAUCAGAAAUGCUGAGCAUUUUAACAUUGUAAAUGGGAUCAUGUUAACAUUCCUGUUAAAAAUUGCUUCAAAAACUUUCCAUUGCACUCAGAAAAAUGUUCAAACUCCUUAGUACCACCUAUAAAGCCUUACGUGAUCCAGUCCCUGCUACCUCUUCAAUUUCAUCUCAUCACCCUGCCCCUGACUCUCCAUUCUCCACUUUAACUACCCUCCCUUUAGUGCCUCCAAAAUGCCAAGACUUCUGUAUGUGCUUUUGCCAGGAAUUCCCACGUCAAUCACUCUCCAUCUGACUAGCCCCUAUUCAUCUUUGCAAUUUGAGUUCAAAUGUCUCUUAAUAACGAAGCCUCAUCUAUCAAGUCUAAAAUAAAUUACUAGUUCCUCAUUAUGCUAUCUCAUUUCCCACUGUUCUUUUUCUUCAUGGCACUUAUUAUAAAUUGAAAUCAUAUGACAGUGUAUGAUGUAAUUGUCUUCCAUUAUAUCUAGAGUGUUUUAAGCUCCAUGAGGACAGGGAUCAUGUUGCUUUUAUUUACAAUAUAAUGCUAGACUUAUAAUAAGUACUAGAUAAAUGUUUGCUAAAAGGAUAAAGGACAAUUAUGUAUAACUUUGAAAAAUAUGAGAAAUUAAUUACUAUAUAAUGCAUAUAGGACGUUGCAAUCAAGAGAUUAUUUUUGACUUGAGUUCUAAAAUUUAGAAUAGCAGAUUCAGCCCUUGGUGACAACCAUGUGGGCUAGAUGACUGUGACUGUUCCUGGCACAUCUGGCAUCCAAAAGUGUCCAAUCGCAACUCUUUGGUCCUGUCACUUUACUUCCUUGAGCCUUAGUUUCCCAAAACAUUAAAUGGGUGGUUGGGUUGGAUGGUCUUUGUGAUUUCUACAUUAAAGUUUUUGUAAAAUUAUAUUCUCAUGUAGAAAUUUUAGGAAAAAGUGAUUUCUAUGCAGCUUUUAGGAUUUUAAUUGUUAGCAGCCUUUGCUUAUCAAGUUGCUGGUAUAACGGUGAAAGGUUAAGGACUUGGGUCUAUUUACUCGCUUUUCACCCAUUUCCUUCCACCUAAAAAACAUAUCUGAUUCUCUGAGCAGAGACUAGAAAUAUGCAUGGGCAAGUACUCAUAAAAAAGACAAGCAUUUAACUUUCCUAAUACUCUUAUCACUUCAACAUCUAGGUUUGGCACAGAAACACAGAACUCCUCACAACAGCUGCCUUCACUAUCAUGUGUGCAUACCAGAUAAGGAUUUCUACUUUACAAGAUGCUGUUUCAGAAAGUCAAACACACAGUUGCUCUAUCCUCAUAUGUCACUGUCUUAAGAAAGUAAAUAUUCUGUAAAUUCAUUUUAAAGAAUAUGUUUGACUUUAAAAAUAAAAAAGUUUUGAUCUGUACUCACAUACUGUAAGUUGCCAAAGGACACAUUAAGAAUGUGGGUAAAAUCUCAAAUAUAUGACACCAUACUUACAAAUAUGCUUGUUACUGCUACAGUAAGUCUUCUGACUUUAAAAAUACCAUUCUGUCAAUGGAUGGUGCCACUGUUUCUCAAAGGGUCAGUGUUGUAGAGUAUCUACCAUAUCAUUUGGCGUGAUUAUACAAUUACUGUUGAUAAAGUUCAAUUCAUAGGCAGGAAAUAAUAGCCAUCAACUAAGAUUCCCAAAGACAAGUCUAUUAGUAAAUCUAUUACCACAGCCACCUAUAGUUUAGUAUAAAGAAACUUUCUAAGUUGUAACAUGACUUGAACUGAGAACCACAAGAUGUCACAGACUCAUUUUAUAAUCUAGGAGAAGAAAAUUUUAUUCCUAAUUAUUCCUUUAUCCUGAAAGAGAGAAAAUAAUACCAGAUACAUGUCUCAGCCUUAGAAACAUUCAGAAUAUUUAUGGAUUGAUGGUAUAGGCCCUGAUCUGAUGGAUACUUUAUGAACAUAGACCUGAAUAAUCAUUAUGCAUAUGCAAACAAUUGUCUAAUAAUUAUUUUUGGAGAAGAUAUUUUUAUAAAUUACUAUAUUAGUUAAGAGCUGAAAUCAAAUCAUAAAGAACUGGAAGUACAAUUGGAGUCCAGUAAGACCCAAGACUUUGGUUUACACCGUUUCUUCUGUAGUCUGGGAUACUCUAUGCUCUUUCUUUUCCCAGCAUGAACAUCAAAUGUCGCCUUCUCUGUAAAGUCUCUCUUUAAUUUGCCUCCCCCAAGCAAAUUGAUCACUCACUCCCAUACUUUUUUGUAUAUUACUGUAGUACUCUGCACACACGCCUAUUGUAAACUUUAAUUACUUUGUUGAAUUCGCUUCCCUUUUGGUAGUAAGCUUCUUGAAGGAAGUCACCAUCUUAUUCAUCUUUGUUUAUAUUCAACUUUAUCUUAGUACUCUAUGCCAUGACUUAAAAAGACGAAUAAAGUCUAGGCUCUGCUUGCUGGGACUUCUCAUUGUGAUCAGAUUUUUAAUAAAUGUGGUUACUUGACACCUGGUAUUAAUUUCUUGUCAAAGAUUAAAGAUUAUGUUCAGCAGAAAACUGACCGUGGCUCUCAGAAAAAAAUAAGUAAAAUGUGGUUUGUUUCCUUUCCUUUUCUCACUCUAUGCCUAUCUUCCAACCCUCAGGUUGUCAGAGUCUUCCGGUUGCCUAUAGAGAUUCAAAAUCCUCACAUGAUUCACAUAGAAUAGAUCUGCCCUUCCUGGAAAUGUCUCAGAGGGAUUUUGCUGUCUCUCUUUUCUCUCUUUCUCUCUCUCUUUUUGCUCUUCCACUUUCUGACAUGCGAGGACACGGUGUUCCUCCCCUCUUCAGGACCCAGCAAGAAGGCUCUUAUCGAUGCCAGUGCCUUGAUCUUGGACUUCUCAAUAUCUAGAACUGCUGGAAUGCAAUGGCUUGAUCUCAGCUCACCACAAC